UAUCUCUGUAGAGUCUGCAUAUCAAUAAGCGGAGGAAAAGAAACUAACUAGGAUUCCCUUAGUAACGGCGAGUGAAGCGGGAAGAGCUCAAAUUUGAAAUCUUCAAGGUUCUACCUUGACGAAUUGUAGUUUAAAGAAGUGUUUUCUGUUGGAGUUUUGGUAAAAGUUCUUUGGAAUAGGACAUCAUAGAGGGUGAGAAUCCCGUAUUUGACCAUUUCUUCCAGCUGUGUGAUACACUUUCAAAGAGUCGGAUUGUUUGGGAAUGCAGUCCAAAAUGGGUGGUAAAUUUCAUCUAAAGCUAAAUAUUGGCGAGAGACCGAUAGCGAACAAGUACCGUGAGGGAAAGAUGAAAAGAACUUUGAAAAGAGAGUUAAACAGUACGUGAAAUUGUCAAAAGGGAAGCGUUUGACACCAGUGUUGUUUUUCCGAAAAUCAAUUACGAAUGUUUUGUUUUUAAGAAGUUAUGACUUCAUCGGCUUGCUUCUUUCUUUACGAAACUUUCUUAAUGCACUUUUCGGUUAACAAGUCAACAUCAAUUUCUUUUGUUGUAAAAGGGUCAUUGAGGAAGGUGGCUUUCUUUUCGGAGAAAGUGUUUAUAGCCUUGUGCCUCUGCAAUCGGAGAGAUUGAGGUCUGCAGCGUAGAUCCUUCGGGGUUAGAUACAUUUGUGCUAAGUUAUAGCUUUUCAUAGACAACUUGUUGACUAUGUUUAGUCUUGUAGCUUACUCGCUUACUGCUAUUUUACCUACGCUUAGGAUGUUGAGUAGCGACAUACGCAC
This 777-nucleotide ribosomal RNA is filed under the name uncultured Neocallimastigales. Its description in RNAcentral is "partial large subunit ribosomal RNA". It matches the Rfam family "Eukaryotic large subunit ribosomal RNA", at positions 24 to 649 of the family's 3401-position model. Lineage: Eukaryota; Fungi; Neocallimastigomycota; Neocallimastigomycetes; Neocallimastigales. The record is from RNAcentral.